This 134-nucleotide ribosomal RNA is filed under the name Bacillus toyonensis. RNAcentral describes it as "partial 23S ribosomal RNA". It matches the Rfam family "Bacterial large subunit ribosomal RNA", at positions 713 to 846 of the family's 2925-position model. Lineage: Bacteria; Bacillati; Bacillota; Bacilli; Caryophanales; Bacillaceae. The record is from RNAcentral.
ACCCGAAACCAGGUGAUCUACCCAUGUCCAGGGUGAAGUUCAGGUAACACUGAAUGGAGGCCCGAACCCACGCACGUUGAAAAGUGCGGGGAUGAGGUGUGGGUAGCGGAGAAAUUCCAAUCGAACCGACAGAU